GAUGAACGCUGACAGAAUGCUUAACACAUGCAAGUCUUUGGCGAAGCUGUGCUUGCACAGCCUAGCCAAGGCGGACGGGUGAGUAACGCGUAAGGAACUUGCCCUGCAGUCAGGGAUAACAGACGGAAACGACUGAUAAGACCUGGUAAAGUCAGGCGGACUCAUGUCCAGCCUGAUGAAAAGAGGUGCUGCAGGAGAGCCUUGCGUCCUAUUAGCUUGUUGGUGGGGUAACGGCCCACCAAGGCGAUGAUAGGUAGCCGGCCUGAGAGGGUGGACGGCCACAAGGGGACUGAGAUACGGCCCUUACUCCUACGGGAGGCAGCAGUGGGGAAUAUUGGACAAUGGGGGCAACCCUGAUCCAGCAAUUCUGUGUGCACGAUGAAGGUUUUCGGAGUGUAAAGUGCUUUCAGCAGGGAAGAAAAAAAUGACGGUACCUGCAGAAGAAGCGACGGCUAAAUACGUG
RNAcentral lists this ribosomal RNA (463 nucleotides) under uncultured bacterium. RNAcentral describes it as "partial 16S ribosomal RNA". It matches the Rfam family "Bacterial small subunit ribosomal RNA", at positions 28 to 507 of the family's 1533-position model. The record is from RNAcentral.